CAACAAAGGCAAAGGAAAAAAAAAAAAGACCAAGGGAACAGAAGGGGAGGGAGCCACGUUGGCCGGCCGUGGGCAGCUGGGGGCUGAGGGAAGCCCAUGACGAGGCUUUGCCGGCCUUGACCACGCGAUGCUGUGAGACCUCCAGAAGUGUGCAGGCCAUACAGGGCACCAAGGCCUGGGCGUGAGAGGCAAACGUGGGGCCCCCGGGAUGACAGUGAUGAAGCGGUGGGUGUGGAUAGAGCCAUGGCCCCAGAGAGUGCCAGGAUGCUGAGGCUGAAGGGUUGGGGAAAAGGGAGCCCGCCAGGGACAGGGAAGGGCAGCCAGAGAAGGAGAUGAGGAGCAGAGGGGUCAGGGGUCCUAGAAGGAGGGGAGCUGGGCACUGCAGACAGGGCCGUGUGACCAGGAGUAGAGCUACGUGGGACCCUGCCUUGUGGCGUGGUGGGCGAGAAGUCAGACUGCAGCGGGCUGAGGCCCGGGAGGCUGGGAAAUGGGGUGCCGCUUUUCUUUUCUUUCUUUGCACUCCUGUCUUCCCUUUCAGUCCCUGCCUCUCCCUCUCUCUUCCGUGUGACUUUGUCCUUCUCCAUCCUGCUCCUCUCUGGAGCUCUUUUUUCUGGAUCGCUUUGUCUUUUUGCUCGCUGCCCCCCUUUCCUGUCUCCCCAGGGGACCUGAGCCACUAGAUGUCCACAACCAGGCUGGGCGCCCACCUGUCUUCCAGAGCAAGUCCUCAGCCCAGCCUCCUGAGGGGGAAGCUUGAUUUCCAGUCCUGGCCAGAUCCUGCCCCAUUCUCUGGGACGCCUCAGCCCAAGGGGGACAACUUGGGGCAGAGGAAACAGGGAAUAGGCUGGCACGGGAAGGGCUGGAGUGUGGCCCGCAGGUGACACCAGGAUCAAGGUGGCCCCGGGCUCCUGUGCCAACACUGCCCAUCCCCCAAGGUGAGAACACGCUGGGGCAGGAGUUGUUGGGCUUGGGGACCUCAGUCCUCGCUGCUGCUCUGUGGCCAUCACACCUGAGGGUCAGUCCCCACCCAUCCUCCAAGUCCCCAGGCGGGGCUCUGUGAGCUGCAGCCGCAGCCCUAGCCCCUCACAGUCAGAGGGCAGAGAAAGUUCUGCUUGAGGCUUGGAUGAGUGGGCAAUUGGAUUUUUAUUUACUCCUUUCUGGUUUGGUUCAGCUCUGGGCUUAUUUGAUCUCAUUUCCGGUCCUCAAUUCCUUGCUCCCUUCCUAUUUUCUAUGCGUUUGCCUCUUCCCGUCCCUCUUCAUCUCUCCCUCUCUCCCUCAGCCUUUUCCCUCUUCAUGGACUUUGCUUCCUUCUCUUAGUUUUCUCUUCCCAUCCCUCUGCCCCUGAGCAUUGUCCCACCCCUCCACCCACGCACUCCUUUCUCCUCCUCCUUUCUCUCUCUCUCCCUGUUCUCUUCCGGUGUGGUGUCUGCUUCUGCAGGCUCUGGAUUUCUGGUGCCUCCAUCCCAUCCUGGGGGGCGGCACUCUGCCCCUGCCAGAGGCAAAGGUGGCUGCAGCUGAGGAGAAGGAGGAGGAGGGGGAGGAGGAGGAGGAGGAGGGGGAGGGGGAGGAGCGCACCCAGCAGUGGGCUUGCAUCACAACCAGGCUUCUGGUUCAUGUGUGGGGAGACAAACACAAAGACUCCUCUUGGCCCCAGUCUCCUGGGCUUUCUCCAGGCAACCCUGGGAUUCCGGAGUUUUGGGGGCAGGACCUAGUAGGGGACAGGAAGUGGGGGGAUCUUGAUCUGCUCACUUGCACCAGCCCUGGGCCAAGGACCUCUUUGGACAGUUUGGCUCAAAUGUAGAAAGAAGCCAGUCUGGAUAAGAUGGCCCGUCCUCUCCUCCAAGGCUACUGCCCCUGCAUUUUGCAUCAUCUGCUGAUGUAGUCACUAAACCACACUAGGUGCCAUGCCCUUUGCUGGGCAUUUGGUGGGCAAUAUAGACCCUGUGUCUUCCCUUAUGAAUCUUAUGUCUGAGAAAGAGACAGACAUGAGCAAAAUCCAUGAAUAAGCAAAGAGCUGCAUCUGUAAGGCUAUGAAGUGGCUCCAGUCUAGUCCUGGGGACUCUGGACAGGUUGAUGGCUGAGUGGAGAUGACUUAGGGGAGUGGUAGGGCAGGGCAGGGAGAUGAACUAGCUGGCUGGUUCCGAAUGCGCAAAGGCCCUGGGGCAGGAGGAGCCCAGCAGGUUCUAAACACUGGAGGAAUCGUGAGACAGCCAGUGUGACUGCAGCUCACAGAGCAAAGGCUGGCAGGCCAGAGAGGCCAAAUGAGAGGAUUCAUUCUCUAUCCUUCCUGCUCUGGACCCCCGGGGAGGUCAUAGUCAGGUCUGCACUGGGGGAGCCCACAGUGCUGCCUGAAAGGAGGAAGUGCUGCAGGGGAUGGAGGAGCAGCAGAGAGGCUCCUGGGGUAGCCCAGGUGACUAUUCUUGGACCAGACUAAUAGGAGUGGAAGAGGUGGGGAGGGACAGGCUCAAAGGCCCUGGGGAAGAGAAUUCGCAGGUGUGGGGCUGGAUUGGGUGGGGUGGGGUGAGGGGCAGAGCACCCUGAGUCUGUGCAUCUCUAGUUGAUGCAAUUAGGGCACAGCUUCUGCCCGCCUCCGGGGGACCAGCCUGGGGACCUGGGACCCACAGCGCCUGCCCUCAGAGCGGGGAGCUGGAAGUGUCUUUCGGCUGAAGUAGCCCUGGCUGUGGAGUUUUCGCAGGUUCCUUCAUCUCUCUGAUCCUCUUUUCCCUAAUCUGUGAAGUGGGGACCGAGAAGCCCAUCUUGCAGUUCUGGGUCCUGCUCAGUAAAGUGGAAGCUUCCAGAGACGCCCAGGUGUUGAAACGGCUUUGCAGGGGGGCUUUGCAGCUGCACCCGGGCUGGGCAGGUGACAGGGCCCCAUGCAGAAUCCGAAUGUCAGGGAAGACCACACCGCGCCUGGAAGCCCAACACAGCCGAGAGAGAAACAGACAAUCAAGGCAUUGAAAAAGUGGAGGAGAAGCCUGGAAAAACUGGCUGGGGCCAAUGUCUAGAGGUAUGGGACUCCGGAUUCUCAUUCUGAAGGCCACAGGGAGCCAGUAACAGCUCUUGAGCAGGGCAUGGUUUGAUCCUUUUGCCAAGGAUUUGUCACCUUGGAGACAGCAGACGGACUCAGGUAAAAAUCUGGGGCUCUGCGGGGAGGGGAAGGUGGUGGGAUUUGCAGUUCUGGGAUUGACAAGAAAACAGGACAUGAGGCCAGGUAAAUAGGUAGACCAGAUGGCCCCUCCAAAGUUCACGUUCUGUCUCUCCUGCAAUCCAGUGUUCUAGUUUCCAGGUAGGAAUUUCGUGGCAUAGGCGAAGCCACUGAGGCACAGAAAAGGCCAAUCACCGCCCCAGGUCACGCAGCUAGGGUUGAGGCCUUGGAUGUAAGAUCCCUGCUGCACUCAUUUCAAGACUCCGGGUAGCAUGGGCUCCAGCUGCCUGGCCAGGCCUGCAGAUGGGGAUGAGGGCCAGCUGAUGGGGGACAGUCUUCUGGAGCCCCUCUCUGUAGAGCCAUGUGGCCCGAGGGGGAAGGGAGCCUGGUGGGCAGGGAGGAGCUGCCACAUGGAAGAGGCUUGAUGGGAACCAUCUGGCCUGUGCUGGGAGUGUGGGCUGCAGGAGGAGGGCGGGGCAGGAGGUGGGCAGGAGGCCAUGGUGGGCUGGGCCGGCCCGCUGGUGGAUGGCGGCCGGGGCUGGGAGCGGUGGCCCAGAGGCCCCUGCCUUCCAGACGGCUGUAGCCCAGAUGCCUUUGCAGCCGGCCUGGCCCCGUCCAACCCGCUGACCUCAUUCCCAGCGCCUCCUCCCUCCUCGCAGGCUCCUCGCCUGCCUGCCACGUAGACUCGGCCACAGGGGGAAGGAGAGUGGGACCCAGGUGCCCUGAGCCCAGAGCCCUGCCAGGACCUACAGAGCUGUGGGCAGCCGCUGUGACCACUUGGGGCCUCAGUUUCCUCUCCCCAAACAUGAGGUCCGGUAAAUGAGGGGGACUGGGGUGAUGGGAGAAGCCAGAUGAGAAGCAGGGUGGAGUGAGGAGCGGGGAACCAAGGGGGCUUCCUGGACUCGUGAGAGCCUUCCCCGCCUUCUGGGCUCCCGGGUGCUGUCCUCACAUCUCAGCAUCGCACUGGCUGUUGGGUGCAGAGAGCAGCACGCUGUCCCCUGUCGGGCUCCUCAGAGCCCCCCAUCCUGCCCCCCGGCCCGGCGUAUCUGCCUCCCUGCCCCCCAGGUCCUGGUGUUACUGUCCUGAGGAGCUGGGGCUGUCCCUGCCGUCUGCCCAGGCGUUCCCGGCCGGUGAGUCAUCGGGAAUGUCUGCUCUGGCUGCAGUUUCCCCCCUGGCCAGGGACCCUCUCCCUCCUCGCCGGAACUCAGAGUAGAGGGUGCUGCUCCCAGGCAGGGGCUGGGGUGGGAGGAACCCAAGCCCAAGGCUGCCCUGAGGCCCCGGUCCCCCACAGGCAGGAAAGGCAGAAGGGGACUGGGGCCUCCAGAGGCCAUGUCCCCAUCACAGAUAGACAGCCUGUCCUGGUGCCUGCUUCCCAGGCAGGGACACCAAGGAAAGCAGCUCGGUGAGGCCCAGACAGAGUUUGAUGUGCUCAGGCUCCCAACACCACACUGUUCGGGGCUCAGCUUUGCAGAACUGGGAGUCUGCUCAAGCCUCUUUUGGAAGGGCCCUCCCCAGUCAGCUGGGCCUGGCAGGAAAGCUGGAGAGGCCGCCCCUCCACGGAUGAGGCAUCCUGGCUGGGGUGCGGUGUCCACGUCCACAGGAGAGGGGGGCCCUGGAUCAGUUUUUGUUUGUUUGUUUGUUUUUGAGACAGGGUCUCACUAUGUAGCCCAUGCUGGCCUUGAAAUCACUGCGUAGUCCAGGCUGGCCUCAAUAUCACAGCAAUCAUCCUGCCUCAGCCUCCUAAGUGCUGGGAUUACAGGUGUGGAGCACCAUACCCAGCUGGAUUUGUUGUUUAGAGAGCUAGGUUCAGUGCCUGAGUCGUCUACUGACUGUGAGCAUUCACAUCCCAGUACUGUGCCUCAGUUUCCCCAUCGGUAAAACAAGGGGGCUGGACAGAAAGAGUUUCCACUCUCGGAUUAAUCUAUGAUUCUGUGUCUUCCCACUGAGACCGACCCUUGCACUCACAUACACACUCACAGAUACACUCUUCACUCCUACAUUUGGGCACAAUUUUUGUUCCCUUCUGCCUGAGGGCUCCCACACCCCACAUUGUCACCAUUGCUUCUCCUCCUGAGGUCACAGGCAGGACAAAGGUGAGCCACAGCAGAAGCUGAGAGGUUUGUGCUCCAGAGUGUCAGACCUUCAGCUCCCUCAAGGGUCCCACCUCUGCGGUUUGGGGUGGGAGGGGCCGGGGACGGAGCAGAGAAAGUCUCGCUUGUUCCCACCCAGCUGGGCACCUGCACAAGGGUGGCCCUCGCUUUUCCUUCCCGGACAUCACUAGCUCUCCCUUCCAAAAACUCCGGUCCCCCGGACACCCAGGGACCUCCUCCACCCUCAGGCCAUCUUUGCAGCUUGGCCUGGCUCUGGCCCCAGGCUGCACCCUUCGAGGAACUUCUGCUGAGGAGCUGCUCAGAGCUCGGAAGGACCUUCCCGAGAGGAGAGGAGGAGAGAGAGACACAGAGAGAGAGGUGGAGCCAGUUUCCUGGAGUCACAGAGCUGGGAAGUAGCUGCACUGAGAUGAAAACCCAGAAAGUCUCAUGCUUCACUCAGAGACCCAGGACGGAUGCCAAGUGGACCACCCCACCCCACUGCAGAAGUGGCUGUUUGCAGGAAUGCGCUGUCUCCUCUUGGGCUCAUGCACGGGAAGGACCACAGCAUAACGUGGCUGAAACUGACCACAGGCACUAGCCGAGUGGCCAGUCCCAGCUACCCCGCCCUGCCUCCCGUCUGCCCAGGGGCUACUGUGAGCUGACCACACCACGACACACACAGCAUCUCAUUUAUUUCAUUAAAAAAAAACUCUCCCUCCAUUUAUUUUCCUUUUCUUUUUUCUCUAUUUUUCAUUAGUGUAUAUUUGUGACAUAAGAAAUGCAUUCAUCAUGGGGAAUCGGCACCUAUACAAACUCUGGUCUUAAUCCUUUUUACUCCCUUUCUCUCCCCACUCUCCUAUCUCCACCACCCUCAGACUCCCCCUCCCCUCCUUUGCUUUGAUUUAUUGAUCCUUUGUAUUGGGUUUUUUGGUACCGGGGAUCGAACUCGGGUCCUUGUGCUUGAGCAGCAGGCAACGAAACCACUAAGCUAAAUCCCAGGCCCUGUAUUGGUUUUUAAUCUCAAUUCAUUAAUUUCCAUUCUGAUCAUUACAAUCUCUUUCCUUCUAUUAGUUUCAGAGUUGGGUUGCUCUUGUCUUUCUAGGACCUUAAGAUGCAUCCUCAGAUUAUUUAUUUGGGAUCACUCUAUUAGGCCCUAACCUUCCCUCUCAGAACUGCUUUCAUUGAGUUCCACAGGUCUUGAUAUGUUGUGCUUUCAUUGUCCUUUGAUUCUAGGAACUUGUAAAUGUCUUCUGUGAUCCGUGGAUUAUUCAAUAGCAUAUUCUUUAAUCUCCCUGUAUUUGAGUAAAAUAGUUUCUGUGGCUUCUUUUCCUGUUGAUUUCUACCUUCACUCCAAUAUGGCCCCAUGGUAUGCAGGGGAUUAUUUCAGUUCUUUUGUACUUAUUUAAGCAGAUUUUGUGGCCUGAGAUAAUGUCUAUUUUGGAAAAAUCUCUGUGUACAAUGUCUCAUUUACUCUUCAGAAUGGCUCUGGGAGAUCAGCUAAUACCUCUACUUUACAAAAGGAGACCCUGUGGCCCAGAAGGGCCAAGGCAUUGCCCAAGGACUCCUUCUUAGAGCUGAGAGAACCCAGCAGCCCCAAAGCUGGAACAGCCUGUGAGUCCCCUAGUGCAGAUCCACACUGCACAUGCAUGGACCAUGCACACCCCCCACCCCCUAGCGAGACCCUGCCUACCAAGUUCCACGCAGUGCUUCAUUCCUUCUUGUGGACAGUGCCCUGAGGAAGGACAUUCUGUAAGUGAGGGGACCCUAGCCCAGCCCAGAAGCACCCUGCACAUACCACAACCCAUGAUUACGCAUGCAUGGAGCUGUUACACGACAACCAAACCACUAUAAGAGCCCCACGGUAAAAGCUAAAGGUUCUAGGUGUUUUCUGGGUGUUGGCUCCUGUUCACUGAAUGGCCUAU
This 7154-nucleotide long non-coding RNA is filed under the name Heterocephalus glaber (naked mole-rat). RNAcentral's name for it is "lncRNA (ENSHGLG00000040697.1)". Lineage: Eukaryota; Metazoa; Chordata; Mammalia; Rodentia; Bathyergidae. The record is from RNAcentral.